AAUAGGAUGGCUGAAGAGUUAAGGUGGUAAACUGUAAAUUUAUUUAUGAAUUGUUUGAUUCUCCUAUUA
RNAcentral lists this transfer RNA (69 nucleotides) under Neoasterolepisma foreli. RNAcentral describes it as "tRNA-Tyr". It matches the Rfam family "tRNA". Rfam says of the family: Transfer RNA (tRNA) molecules are approximately 80 nucleotides in length. Their secondary structure includes four short double-helical elements and three loops (D, anti-codon, and T loops). Further hydrogen bonds mediate the characteristic L-shaped molecular structure. tRNAs have two regions of fundamental functional importance: the anti-codon, which is responsible for specific mRNA codon recognition, and the 3' end, to which the tRNAs corresponding amino acid is attached (by aminoacyl-tRNA synthetases). tRNAs cope with the degeneracy of the genetic code in two manners: having more than one tRNA (with a specific anti-codon) for a particular amino acid; and 'wobble' base-pairing, i.e. permitting non-standard base-pairing at the 3rd anti-codon position. Lineage: Eukaryota; Metazoa; Arthropoda; Insecta; Zygentoma; Lepismatidae. The record is from RNAcentral.